GUCAGCGGUCAAAGCACCGAGGUAAUACCUGAUCUCAUUUCGAACUCAGAAGUUAAGCUCGGUUACGUUUUGGUGUGUACUUCGUCAUACGCGGGAAAGCCAAAAAGCUGCUGACA
This 116-nucleotide ribosomal RNA is filed under the name Candidatus Woesearchaeota archaeon. The record is from RNAcentral. Lineage: Archaea; Nanobdellati; Candidatus Woesearchaeota.